Molecule: ribosomal RNA, 232 nt
Filed under: uncultured bacterium
Lineage: Bacteria
Description: partial 16S ribosomal RNA
Rfam family: Bacterial small subunit ribosomal RNA
Source: RNAcentral
GACGAACGCUGGCGGCGUGCUUAACACAUGCAAGUCGAGCGGUAAGGCCCUUUCGGGGGUACGACGAGCGGCGAACGGGUGAGUAACACGUGGGUGACCUGCCCUCAGCUCUGGGAUAAGCCUGGGAAACCGGGUCUAAUACCGGAUAUGACUCCAUGACGCAUGUUGUGGGGUGGAAAGCCUUGUGCGGCUGAGGAUGGGCCCGCGGCCUAUCAGCUUGUUGGUGGGGUGA